This 259-nucleotide ribosomal RNA is filed under the name uncultured bacterium. RNAcentral describes it as "partial 16S ribosomal RNA". It matches the Rfam family "Bacterial small subunit ribosomal RNA", at positions 335 to 612 of the family's 1533-position model. The record is from RNAcentral.
UGCCUACGGGAGGCAGCAGUGGGGAAUAUUGCACAAUGGGGGAAACCCUGAUGCAGCGACGCCGCGUGAGUGAAGAAGUAUUUCGGUAUGUAAAGCUCUAUCAGCAGGGAAGAAAAUGACGGUACCUGACUAAGAAGCCCCGGCUAACUACGUGCCAGCAGCCGCGGUAAUACGUAGGGGGCAAGCGUUAUCCGGAUUUACUGGGUGUAAAGGGAGCGUGGACGGCGGAACAAGUCAGAAGUGAAAACCCGGGGCUCAA